CCUACGGGUGGCAGCAGUCGAGAAUAAUUCACAAUGGGGGAAACCCUGAUGGUGCGACGCCGCGUGAGGGAAUGAAGGUUUUCGGAUUGUAAACCCCUGUAAUGUGGGAGAAAAUAAAAAAGAUAGUACCACAAGAGGACGAGACGGCUAACUCUGUGCCAGCAGCCGCGGUAAUACAGAGGUCGCAAGCGUUGUUCGGAAUCACUGGGUGUAAAGGGUGAGGAGGCGGUUUCGUAAGUCGUGUGUGAAAGGCGCGGGCUCAACCCGCGGACGGCAGAUGAUACUACGAGACUAGAGUAAUGGAGAGGUAACCGGAAUUCCUGGUGUAGCAGUGAAAUGCGUAGAUAUUGAGAGGAACACUCGUGGCGAAGGCGGGUUCCUGGACAGUAACUGACGCUGAGGCACGAAGGCCAGGGGAGCGAACGGGAUUAGAUACCCGGGUAGUC
RNAcentral lists this ribosomal RNA (446 nucleotides) under uncultured bacterium. RNAcentral's name for it is "partial 16S ribosomal RNA". It matches the Rfam family "Bacterial small subunit ribosomal RNA", at positions 338 to 795 of the family's 1533-position model. The record is from RNAcentral.